RNAcentral lists this long non-coding RNA (2124 nucleotides) under Olea europaea subsp. europaea. Lineage: Eukaryota; Viridiplantae; Streptophyta; Magnoliopsida; Lamiales; Oleaceae. The record is from RNAcentral.
AAAUUUUUAGUAAUUAAUCAAAUUUUUAGAGGAAUUAAAUAUCUUUUCUUUUGUCCGGCCAUUAUGAUAGACUUCAAUUCUUAACAAACUCCAUAUAUUAUUUAUGUAGUCUACUAUUUAAUUAAUUAAGUUUAUGGUUAAUAUUUAAUUAGUAUGCAUAAACUAUUAGUUAUUUUAGACUAAACUUAUCCUAAUGAUCACGUGUGCAAAGGAUAUGCUCCAGUAAUGUCUCCUCAUUAUUAUAGUAGUUGGUUUGGGCCCCAAUAUCAAAAGUUAAUCCCCAAGUCAGAUUAUAUCAAACAGGAGGUUAGGAUUUCCAAACCAAAUUUCUGGGAUGUACUUGGACGAAAUUUAGAGUUCUAAUUUCAGUGAAAUUCCACUCCCCACGUGAUUACCCUACACCGUGGUUUAGUAUAAAUAUAGCACUAAGCCUCAAGCAUUCAGUAAUUAAUUCCUCAUUCUUCUUCUGCGCGUCUUUAUUCUCUCCUCCUCUUUAAAAUAUUUCUCCAUAUUAUUAAGGCUUUUUAAGGCUUUGGAAUUGCAAUAAAGAAUCACGUUUUCAGCAAUUUUACUUUCCACGUUCAUCUUCAAAAGGUGAGAUGCUCAGUGCUAUUAGUGGUUUGUCCACAUCUUUUCAAAAACGUUGUUAUGUAUGGAUUUAAUUACUUCAGUUCAGAGCUCUUUUGGGAGAAAUCAUGAUACAGUUUAAGGCACAAUUUAGCCUUCACGUUAUUUGCAGCGCUUGCUUGAAUUAUCAUUUGUCAUGGUGUGAUAAUUCUCAUGUUAUGUUGGUAAGAGAAUUUAUGCAUAAUUUCACGUUUGAUUUGAAUGUGGAGUAGCAAGCACCUCAUUGAGUAUAAUUCGUUAUACUCAUCCCUCUCUAUUUACAAUUUUCAGGUAGAAAUUAGUAUGCUGGACGACGGUGGAUGGAUGCAUAUUGGACCAAUGGAUCUCCAUCAUGAAGUACUUUAAUUUUUAGAAACACUAGAAUAUUUAUUAACAGUUGAUUAUUAUUAUUUUUAAAUUUAGACUCAAUUGUGAGUCACGUCAUAACUUUCAAUUAGUCCUAUUUUUAUUAUUUGUUAGAACUACUUUUAUUAAUGUUUGAUAAAAGAUAUGAUUCCAAAUUGUUCCGCAUAUGUUAUUUAAUUUAAUUUACCUUUUGUUAAGGUUGUUCAAUUUUUACUGAAUUCCUCGUUAUAUUAAAAUGUAUUUGCCUCAAGCACUUUAUUAAUCAAUUCACGUUUGGUAACGUUCCGGGUUGCUAGAGAAUUCGGGGCGUUACAGAGUAUGCCCUACGGCUCCGUACCGGCCAGACCUACGCGGUCGAGGAAACUCUCCGGUAGAUGGUAUUCUAGAUGUAUUUGGACGUCCAAGACCAUGCGGUUCAACUGCUGGUGGUAACAAAUUAUGAAAUGGGAGAAUGUGCUCGGGAACUUCCCACUCGGCUUCAUUCGGCAGAGGAAAUAUAGUCUUGACAUAUGCUGUUCUCCAAGACUCAGUCGUAUAAUACAAAGAGCAUAACAUUCUCGCAGCAAAGCCUCGAUAAAUGGCCACCGCAACUGCAUGCUCACAUGGAAAACUCUCCAACUGAAAUCUCGUACAAGUGCAUGUGUUAUCAGUCAAGUCCACCAUACAUGCCGUAUUACGUGCACAUUGCACGGAGAAGCGAAACUCGUCUAGUGCUUCCACAUUCAACUUCCUUGCAACCUCUGCCGCCUUAAACAGUUUCUCCUCUUGAGCUGGGGUCAACACGCUAGUGCAACUCUGUGAUGCCGCACGUCGGUCAUGAAACCACUGUUGUAGCUUGUUACGAAUGUUCUCAAUCAUUGCGAGAAUUAGUAACUCUCGAUCCUUCUUAAACAAUGCAUUGAGAGACUUCACGUUAUUCGACAUCAUCAUGUUGUAUCGAUGUCCUGGAAAGUAUGACCGCACCCAAUGUUCGAUCCCCAUCUUCGUCAGAUACUCCAACGCCAGUAAUGAUUUACUUCAUAUCUCGAGCAUGAACUUAUUACACUCUUCAGUACUGUAAGCUUCGGCUGCUCUCCUGAGCAAUGAAAUGAUACCUGUGCCCCGAUAUCUAGUUUUCAAAUUACCUUGUAUAUGGUACAUGCAAUACCCGUG